CAUUUCGAGUCAUUCCAGUAAGUUCUUGGAACACUACGAAAUGUGGAAGGUAUCGACUAUUCUAAUCUUCGCAAUUCUUGUUGCGGUGUUCAUCUUCGCGACCGAGGCUAUCUCGUCGGCGGAUUACAUUGGUGACAUUGAGGACAAUAUAGCCAAGCGCGAAUUGUUUGAUCAAGGAAGUAAAUACGACCCGCCUCCGAUUACGGACUGAAUUCCAUCAGGUAAAAUGUGCGGCUUUCAUGGAAUCUGACUGUACGAUGUGAAUAUUCAGUACAGCGUUAUAAAUAAAUCUAAUAUCAAGCAA
Toxorhynchites rutilus septentrionalis is the source of this 304-nucleotide long non-coding RNA. RefSeq lists it as uncharacterized. The transcript has 3 exons. The record is from RefSeq and is a predicted model, not a curated record. Lineage: Eukaryota; Metazoa; Arthropoda; Insecta; Diptera; Culicidae.